Molecule: ribosomal RNA, 493 nt
Filed under: uncultured bacterium
Lineage: Bacteria
Description: partial 16S ribosomal RNA
Rfam family: Bacterial small subunit ribosomal RNA
Source: RNAcentral
GAUGAACGCUGGCGGCGUGCUUAACACAUGCAAGUCGAGCGAAGCAGUUGAAAAGAUUCUUCGGAUGAUUUUUAACUGACUGAGCGGCGGACGGGUGAGUAACGCGUGGGUGACCUGCCCCAUACCGGGGGAUAACAGCUGGAAACGGCUGCUAAUACCGCAUAAGCGCACAGAGCUGCAUGGCUCGGUGUGAAAAACUCCGGUGGUAUGGGAUGGGCCCGCGUCUGAUUAGGCAGUUGGCGGGGUAACGGCCCACCAAACCGACGAUCAGUAGCCGGCCUGAGCGGGCGACCGGCCACAUUGGGACUGAGACACGGCCCAAACUCCUACGGGAGGCAGCAGUGGGGAAUAUUGCACAAUGGGGGAAACCCUGAUGCAGCGACGCCGCGUGAGCGAAGAAGUAUUUCGGUAUGUAAAGCUCUAUCAGCAGGGAAGAUAAUGACGGUACCUGACUAAGAAGCCCCGGCUAACUACGUGCCAGCCGCCGCGGUAA